Molecule: long non-coding RNA, 413 nt
Filed under: Salvia miltiorrhiza (redroot sage)
Lineage: Eukaryota; Viridiplantae; Streptophyta; Magnoliopsida; Lamiales; Lamiaceae
Description: long non-coding RNA (SMIL_LNC010576)
Source: RNAcentral
AUGAACUGGAAUCGAAAAUUGAGUGAGAGAGAGAGAGCUGAGUUCAGCCGAAGAAAGCAAAAUUGUGGGGAGAAAUUAAGAGAGGAGAGGGAACAUGAAGCUUAGAACGGCGACCUCGCCAGACCUCAGCGGCGGCGGACGGAUCCCGGCGGAAGCGAUUUUGAAAGGGAAAUUAGGGCUUCUAUCAUCCACCUGACUUGAGAUGAACGAUUGGAAACGAGAGAAGGGAGGAGGCGUCGGACCUUGGCGCGGCAGAAGCUGAUUCGACGGAUUCCGGAGCCGCGGCGGCAGAAUCUCGGCAGAAGACAGAGCGAGGGAGAAAGAUGGUCUAAAGGCGUGUCUGAUUUUUGAGAGAGAGAGGGCAUCGAGUUUGUUGAAGGAGGGAGAGUAAUUGGGCUUGUGUUAUUUAUUUU